Molecule: ribosomal RNA, 343 nt
Filed under: Pedioplanis haackei
Lineage: Eukaryota; Metazoa; Chordata; Lepidosauria; Squamata; Lacertidae
Description: partial large subunit ribosomal RNA
Source: RNAcentral
AUCCUAACCGUGCRAAGGUAGCAUAAUCACUUGUCCCCUAAAUAGGGACUAGUAUGAAUGGUCAAAUGAGGACUAAACUGUCUCUUACAUUUAACCAAUAAAACUGAUCUCUCAGUUAAAAAGCUGAGAUAUAAACAUAAGACGAGAAGACCCUGUGGAGCUUCAAACCAACCCAACCCUAAUGGUUCGGWUUUUAGUUGGKGCGACUUCGGAGUACAAAAAAACCUCCGACAAACCAUAUCAAGACCAACACGUCAACAUGCUUAUGACCCGGKACAAAAUAUCCGAUCAAUGAACCAAGUUACCCCAGGGAUAACAGCGCUAUCCCCUUCUAGAGUCCUUA